This 321-nucleotide ribosomal RNA is filed under the name Lecanora phaeocardia. Its description in RNAcentral is "SSU rRNA". It matches the Rfam family "Bacterial small subunit ribosomal RNA", at positions 405 to 759 of the family's 1533-position model. The record is from RNAcentral. Lineage: Eukaryota; Fungi; Ascomycota; Lecanoromycetes; Lecanorales; Lecanoraceae.
UAGCGAUAGCUAAUUGCAAAUAUCGACUAUGUCGAAUAAAAUUCUAAGUAGAAUUAUGAUAAUGACAUUGUCUGCUUAUGUGUCUUGACCAAAUUACGUGCCAGCAGUCGCGGUAAUACGUAGAAGACUAGUGUUAUUCAUCUUUAGUAGGUUUAAAGGGUACCUAGACAGUAAAUCAAGCACUAAUUUACUAGAGUUACUUGUGAGGGGGUAUUAAAGUACUGCUGGUGUAGAGAUGAAAUUCUGUGAUACCUUUUUUUUAUGGCACAGGUAUAGGCGAAAGCAUCCCCUUAUGUGAUAACUGACGUUGAAGGACGAAGG